Molecule: microRNA, 21 nt
Filed under: Picea abies (Norway spruce)
Lineage: Eukaryota; Viridiplantae; Streptophyta; Pinopsida; Pinales; Pinaceae
Description: pab-miR11578
Source: miRBase by way of RNAcentral
UUUAGGUUGCUUCUGUCCACU